RNAcentral lists this ribosomal RNA (740 nucleotides) under uncultured Hymenobacter sp. Its description in RNAcentral is "bacterial SSU rRNA". It matches the Rfam family "Bacterial small subunit ribosomal RNA", at positions 8 to 757 of the family's 1533-position model. The record is from RNAcentral. Lineage: Bacteria; Pseudomonadati; Bacteroidota; Cytophagia; Cytophagales; Hymenobacteraceae.
AGAGAUCAUGGCUCAGGAUGAACGCUAGCGGCAGGCCUAAUACAUGCAAGUCGAACGGUUCCUAGCAAUAGGAAUAGUGGCGCACGGGUGCGUAACGCGUAACCAACCUACCCAGAACUGGGGGAUAGCCCGCCGAAAGGCGGAUUAAUACCGCAUAAGACCAUAGUACGGCAUCGUACAGUGGUUAAAGAUUUAUUGGUUUUGGAUGGGGUUGCGUGCCAUUAGCUAGUUGGGGGGGUAACGGCCCACCAAGGCGACGAUGGCUAGGGGAGCUGAGAGGCUGGUCCCCCACACGGGCACUGAGAUACGGGCCCGACUCCUACGGGAGGCAGCAGUAGGGAAUAUUGGGCAAUGGGCGAGAGCCUGACCCAGCCAUGCCGCGUGCAGGACGAAGGCUUUCUGAGUCGUAAACUGCUUUUGCCAGGGAAGAAAAAGGGGGAUGCGUCCCCCACUGACGGUACCUGGUGAAUAAGCACCGGCUAACUCCGUGCCAGCAGCCGCGGUAAUACGGAGGGUGCAAGCGUUGUCCGGAUUUAUUGGGUUUAAAGGGUGCGUAGGCGGUCCGUUAAGUCCGGGGUGAAAGCCCACUGCUCAACAGUGGAACUGCCCUGGAAACUGGCGGACUUGAGUACAGACGAGGGUGGCGGAAUGGAUGGGGUAGCGGUGAAAUGCAUAGAUACCAUCCAGAACCCCGAUUGCGAAGGCAGCUGCCUAUACUGUAACUGACGCUGAUGCACGAC